UACGUAGGGGGCAAGCGUUGUUCGGAAUUACUGGGCGUAAAGGGCGUGUAGGCGGUGCGGUAAGUUGGGCGUGAAAUCCCCGGGCUCAACCCGGGGCGGUCGUUCAAAACUGCCGCGCUAGAGUGUGGGAGAGGGAAGUGGAAUUCCCGGUGUAGCGGUGAAAUGCGUAGAUAUCGGGAGGAACAUCAGUGGCGAAGGCGGCUUCUUGGCCCAAUACUGACGCUGAGGUGCGAAAGCGUGGGGAUCAAACAGG
RNAcentral lists this ribosomal RNA (253 nucleotides) under uncultured bacterium. Its description in RNAcentral is "partial 16S ribosomal RNA". It matches the Rfam family "Bacterial small subunit ribosomal RNA", at positions 524 to 776 of the family's 1533-position model. The record is from RNAcentral.